GACGUAGGGUGCAAGCGUUGUCCGGAAUUAUUGGGCGUAAAGAGCUCGUAGGCGGUUUGUCGCGUCUGCUGUGAAAACUCGGGGCUUAACUCCGGGCCUGCAGUGGGUACGGGCAGACUAGAGUGCGGUAGGGGAGACUGGAAUUCCUGGUGUAGCGGUGAAAUGCGCAGAUAUCAGGAGGAACACCGGUGGCGAAGGCGGGUCUCUGGGCCGUAACUGACGCUGAGGAGCGAAAGCGUGGGGAGCGAACAGG
This 253-nucleotide ribosomal RNA is filed under the name uncultured bacterium. Its description in RNAcentral is "partial 16S ribosomal RNA". It matches the Rfam family "Bacterial small subunit ribosomal RNA", at positions 524 to 776 of the family's 1533-position model. The record is from RNAcentral.